AUUGAACGCUGGCGGCAUGCCUUACACAUGCAAGUCGAACGGCAGCACGGGGGCAACCCUGGUGGCGAGUGGCGAACGGGUGAGUAAUAUAUCGGAACGUACCCUGGAGUGGGGGAUAACGUAGCGAAAGUUACGCUAAUACCGCAUACGAUCUACGAAAGAAAGUGGGGGAUCUUCGGACCGCAUGCUUUUGGAGCGGCCGAUGUUUGAUUAGCUAGUUGGUGAGGUAAAGGCUCACCAAGGCGUCGAGCAGUAGCUGGUCUGAGAGGACGACCAGCCACACUGGGACUGGGCCACGGCCCAGACUCCUACGGGAGGCAGCAGUGGGGAAUUUUGGACAAUGGGCGCAAGCCUGAUCCAGCAAUGCCGCGUGAGUGAAGAAGGCCUUCGGGUUGUAAAGCUCUUUUGUCAGGGAAGAAACGGCUGGGGUUAAUACCCCUGGCUAAUGACGGUACCUGAAGAAUAAGCACCGGCUAACUACGUGCCAGCAGCCGCCGUAA
Molecule: ribosomal RNA, 500 nt
Filed under: uncultured bacterium
Lineage: Bacteria
Description: partial 16S ribosomal RNA
Rfam family: Bacterial small subunit ribosomal RNA
Source: RNAcentral